ACUUCCACAAGAGGCUCACAAUGUGGCAGGGGCCAGGUCCCGGCUGUGUAGUUCAUGUAGCUCGCAAAUUGCACCGAAUUACUCCCAUUCGCUUACCUGCUAUCAUCGCUGCGGUCCGGGGGCUCCAUACCAAGGCGAGGAGUCCAGACUCGCCCGUGUGUGCGCCGACGCCAUCUUACCAGCAAUCAUCGAAGAACUGACACAGAUCAUUGCUACGGCAACCCGUGCAGUACAUCAGACAGCCGCUGUGACUGCUCUUGAACUGCCGUAAUAGGCUCUAAUUACCGCCCGAGUUGACCCGUUUAUUACUGUGGGCAUGCUGACAGAUCGCUUGUCAUGCAACUUGAUCUGGCAGGCACAGCAUCUUGUAACUAAAAUACGGUCAUUUAGAACACACGUUAUUAUUGAUUACAAUAUUUACAGACAAAAUUACCUUCUGCCUACGUCAUAUUUUACUUUUAAGAUCACCUGACAAACACAGCAAUGAUCAUUUUAUCGCGAUUUUCAGUGCUGUUGGCUCGUCUGAAAAUGAUCAAAUUACUGCACUGCAGUACAAUAGGCUAUAGGCCUACGUUUUUCUCGUUUGGCAUUACUGAAUGGGUUGAGUAUUUUUGGGUUCAGCUUUGAAAGUUUGAAGGGUGAUGUUUUGACCGGUCAGCCAAAUAAUUGGAAUUGUGUUUUUUAAUUUUGAUUCAAAUUAUUCUUAGGCCACCCAAACAAGCCCGAGUUACAAACCCACUGGCAAAGGUUUCAAGAGGAUACAAUUUUCAUUUGGCAGCUUUUGUCAGUUAUAUGAAGUGGAUUACUGCCUUUUAACUUAAUGUAAUGUUUCAGCUGUAUAAUAUUACCACAUCCACAUUCACUGCAUCUGUUUCCAUAAUUGACAAGGCAUGUCACCCCCACCCACCCCAAUACAGCCUCCUCUGCGUCUCUGGCAUUCAUUAAAUCA
This is a long non-coding RNA of Anguilla rostrata (American eel), 949 nucleotides long. RefSeq lists it as uncharacterized. Lineage: Eukaryota; Metazoa; Chordata; Actinopteri; Anguilliformes; Anguillidae. The record is from RefSeq and is a predicted model, not a curated record. The transcript is spliced from 2 exons.